AGAAGUUAAAUGGAUGCUGCAUAACCAGGGU
RNAcentral lists this non-coding RNA (31 nucleotides) under Homo sapiens (human). The record is from RNAcentral. Lineage: Eukaryota; Metazoa; Chordata; Mammalia; Primates; Hominidae.